Molecule: long non-coding RNA, 250 nt
Filed under: Homo sapiens (human)
Lineage: Eukaryota; Metazoa; Chordata; Mammalia; Primates; Hominidae
Description: HSALNT0280343
Source: RNAcentral
CUGAGUUUUGAGUGAUAGUGCCUAUCCUGGUUAUUGGUGUUUCUUACCACAGCAGUAACCAGGGGAUUUUUACAGGUGUCCUGUCAAGAAAUGACCGUCUUACCUGACAGUGGUAUUGAUCUUGCAUUAUUACAAGUAUCCAGGUUUCUGUAGUGAGACCCUGAUAAACCUAACAAUGGUUGGUAUGGCAGACAUUUCUGGUAUGCAGGCAAGUGAUGAUGUGUUCUUUAACCACAUCAUAGACCAUCAG